RNAcentral lists this ribosomal RNA (465 nucleotides) under Vreelandella stevensii. Its description in RNAcentral is "partial 16S ribosomal RNA". It matches the Rfam family "Bacterial small subunit ribosomal RNA", at positions 338 to 795 of the family's 1533-position model. The record is from RNAcentral. Lineage: Bacteria; Pseudomonadati; Pseudomonadota; Gammaproteobacteria; Oceanospirillales; Halomonadaceae.
CCUACGGGUGGCAGCAGUGGGGAAUAUUGGACAAUGGGGGGAACCCUGAUCCAGCCAUGCCGCGUGUGUGAAGAAGGCCCUCGGGUUGUAAAGCACUUUCAGUGAGGAAGAACGCCUGGUGGUUAAUACCCAUCAGGAAAGACAUCACUCACAGAAGGAGCACCGGCUAACUCCGUGCCAGCAGCCGCGGUAAUACGGAGGGUGCGAGCGUUAAUCGGAAUUACUGGGCGUAAAGCGCGCGUAGGUGGCUUGAUAAGCCGGUUGUGAAAGCCCCGGGCUCAACCUGGGAACGGCAUCCGGAACUGUCAAGCUAGAGUGCAGGAGAGGAAGGUAGAAUUCCCGGUGUAGCGGUGAAAUGCGUAGAGAUCGGGAGGAAUACCAGUGGCGAAGGCGGCCUUCUGGACUGACACUGACACUGAGGUGCGAAAGCGUGGGUAGCAAACAGGAUUAGAUACCCUAGUAGUC